AACGAACGCUGGCGGCAGGCUUAACACAUGCAAGUCGAACGAGCUGGGGGCUUCGGGCCCCGAUGCUAGUGGCGCACGGGUGAGUAACACGUGGGAAUAUGCCCUUUAGUACGGAAUAACAAAGGGAAACUUUGGCUAAUACCGUAUACGCGCUUCGGGGGGAAGAUUUAUCGAUAAAGGAUUAGCCCGCGUCUGAUUAGGUAGUUGGUGAGGUAAUGGCUCACCAAGCCGGCGAUCAGUAGCUGGGCUGAGAGGAUGAUCAGCGACACUUGGACUGAGACACGGCCCAGACUCCUACGGGACGCAGCAGUGGGGAAUAUUGGACACUGGGGGCAACCCUGACCCAGCCAUGCCGCGUGAGUGACGAAGGCCUUCGGAUUGUAAAGCUCUUUCGAAGGGGACGAUGAUGACGGUACCCGUAGAAGAAGCCCCGGCAAACUUCGUG
This 445-nucleotide ribosomal RNA is filed under the name uncultured bacterium. Its description in RNAcentral is "partial 16S ribosomal RNA". It matches the Rfam family "Bacterial small subunit ribosomal RNA", at positions 29 to 507 of the family's 1533-position model. The record is from RNAcentral.